AAAUGCUAACAUUCAAAUUAAUUAAAUGUGAUAAGUGAACUAAACUCAAUUUUCAUCAACCUGUUGUGAACACUACUUUUAAAUAAGUAAGUAGUAAUUUGGGGUUGGAGAACUUGCUUAACUUGAUAUAUCCCAGUUAAGUCAAAUUAGAAAAAAUAAUUUCUUGUACCCAGUGUCCUUUGGGCGUUCUAUCAGACAUGCGCAGAUCUGCCCUGCCCACUUUCGCGCUCUUUCCAACACCUUUCUCAGUUAUUUUCGCCAUUGUGGGUUUACUUGUCCUCAGCACACUGAUUUGGCACUGCUGCAAUCGUCACACUUUUUCUGUUACAAACUGACCCGGCCCCUCAUCAGAGAAGGGAAAAGUCAUGUGGCCUUCACAGGAAAAGGUUUGGGGACCCCUGCUUUAGAGUGUUUGUCAUCUGCCCUUCCAUUUGCUUUUCUUCAUGUGCAGUGCUCCCCCUCCAUGUUUGAUCAAACUGCACUGAUAAUUUGAAAUUGUUUUAAAAUGCAUUAAUCGCAAAAAUCAGAGGACUAGAUCACAUUUCCCCCUGUUAUUUCACCACUUUAACUUUGGUCUAACCUAAUAUAGGAAUACAGAUAGAAAGAGUGCAGAGAUCACACUCGACGCCAUAACAACCUGGUGUGUUUAAGGUUGGUCAUUUAUGUGCCUAUAUUUUGAAAUUGUUGCCUUAAUUUUGUGUUCUUUUUCACCAUCCCCCAAUCAGGCUGAAGCAAAUGGUCAAAAGUCCACACAUACCUCAGUCUCAGCAAUUACAGGUCAACCAAAGCAGUAUUCUCUAAUGCAGUGGACUUGCAAGUACUGCACAUUUUCUGCUGAAAAGAGCCUACUUGCUUAAGCAUUACCGCUUAAAACAUGGAUACCACACUCGGACAUCCCUACUCCCAUGUCUUCAUAAGGACUGCCUCUGCACAUUUAAAUCUUUUAAUGCACUCAAAGUACACCUAUCGACAUGGCACUCUCAAAAAGAUGCAGGCAAAAGUGGAGAAACUGCAUUUGACCGUCAGUUGUGCAACUUUGUGGAGCCCUGCUCAGGAGCAGACUUCUUUACCCAUUUGCGAGGACAUCUUAAGCUGAGGCAAAUGGUUA
Long non-coding RNA from Corythoichthys intestinalis (scribbled pipefish), 1108 nucleotides. RefSeq lists it as uncharacterized. NCBI's taxonomy places the organism in Eukaryota, Metazoa, Chordata, Actinopteri, Syngnathiformes, Syngnathidae. The transcript is spliced from 3 exons. The record is from RefSeq and is a predicted model, not a curated record.